Molecule: ribosomal RNA, 591 nt
Filed under: Burkholderia cepacia
Lineage: Bacteria; Pseudomonadati; Pseudomonadota; Betaproteobacteria; Burkholderiales; Burkholderiaceae
Description: bacterial SSU rRNA
Rfam family: Bacterial small subunit ribosomal RNA
Source: RNAcentral
GGGUUGUAAAGCACUUUUGUCCGGAAAGAAAUCCUUGGCUCUAAUACAGCCGGGGGAUGACGGUACCGGAAGAAUAAGCACCGGCUAACUACGUGCCAGCAGCCGCGGUAAUACGUAGGGUGCAAGCGUUAAUCGGAAUUACUGGGCGUAAAGCGUGCGCAGGCGGUUUGCUAAGACCGAUGUGAAAUCCCCGGGCUCAACCUGGGAACUGCAUUGGUGACUGGCAGGCUAGAGUAUGGCAGAGGGGGGUAGAAUUCCACGUGUAGCAGUGAAAUGCGUAGAGAUGUGGAGGAAUACCGAUGGCGAAGGCAGCCCCCUGGGCCAAUACUGACGCUCAUGCACGAAAGCGUGGGGAGCAAACAGGAUUAGAUACCCUGGUAGUCCACGCCCUAAACGAUGUCAACUAGUUGUUGGGGAUUCAUUUCCUUAGUAACGUAGCUAACGCGUGAAGUUGACCGCCUGGGGAGUACGGUCGCAAGAUUAAAACUCAAAGGAAUUGACGGGGACCCGCACAAGCGGUGGAUGAUGUGGAUUAAUUCGAUGCAACGCGAAAAACCUUACCUACCCUUGACAUGGUCGGAAUCCUGCUGA